This 253-nucleotide ribosomal RNA is filed under the name uncultured bacterium. RNAcentral describes it as "partial 16S ribosomal RNA". It matches the Rfam family "Bacterial small subunit ribosomal RNA", at positions 524 to 776 of the family's 1533-position model. The record is from RNAcentral.
UACGUAGGGGGCAAGCGUUAUCCGGAUUCACUGGGUUUAAAGGGUGCGUAGGUGGGCAAGUAAGUCAGUGGUGAAAUCUCCGGGCUUAACCCGGAAACUGCCAUUGAUACUAUUUGUCUUGAAUACUGUGGAGGUCAGCGGAAUAUGUCAUGUAGCGGUGAAAUGCUUAGAUAUGACAUAGAACACCAAUUGCGAAGGCAGCUGGCUACACAAAUAUUGACACUGAGGCACGAAAGCGUGGGGAGCAAACAGG